AGUCGUGUGGCCGAGUGGUGAAGGCGGCAGUUUUAAGCACUGCUCCGUAAGGAUCGCGGGUUCGAACCCCGUCGCGACUA
Molecule: transfer RNA, 80 nt
Filed under: Coemansia sp. 'formosensis'
Lineage: Eukaryota; Fungi; Kickxellomycota; Kickxellomycetes; Kickxellales; Kickxellaceae
Also listed under: 16 other names
Description: tRNA-Leu
Rfam family: tRNA
About the family: Transfer RNA (tRNA) molecules are approximately 80 nucleotides in length. Their secondary structure includes four short double-helical elements and three loops (D, anti-codon, and T loops). Further hydrogen bonds mediate the characteristic L-shaped molecular structure. tRNAs have two regions of fundamental functional importance: the anti-codon, which is responsible for specific mRNA codon recognition, and the 3' end, to which the tRNAs corresponding amino acid is attached (by aminoacyl-tRNA synthetases). tRNAs cope with the degeneracy of the genetic code in two manners: having more than one tRNA (with a specific anti-codon) for a particular amino acid; and 'wobble' base-pairing, i.e. permitting non-standard base-pairing at the 3rd anti-codon position.
Source: RNAcentral